UUACUGAUCUGAGUAUAUUUAUCUAACAACUUUUAACCUCUGAUUAUAAAACAAUUUUAUAUAUUUUACAGCAAACCAUUACCCCCAUUCUAGUAUAG
This 98-nucleotide ribosomal RNA is filed under the name Lethenteron hattai (southern Japanese brook lamprey). RNAcentral describes it as "partial 16S ribosomal RNA". The record is from RNAcentral. Lineage: Eukaryota; Metazoa; Chordata; Hyperoartia; Petromyzontiformes; Petromyzontidae.